UGGGGAAUCUUGCACAAUGGGGGAAACCCUGAUGCAGCGACGCCGCGUGAGCGAUAAAGGUUUUCGAAUCGUAAAGCUCUGUCCUAUGGGAAGAUAAUGACGGUACCAUGGGAGGAAGCCCCGGCUAACUACGUGCCAGCAGCCGCGGUAAUACGUAGGGGGCGAGCGUUGUCCGGAAUUACUGGGCGUAAAGGGUUCGCAGGCGGCAUGGCAAGUCCGAUGUAAAAGGCGAAGGCUCAACCUUCGUAAGCAUCGGAAACUGUCAAGCUUGAGUGAAGGAGAGGCAAGUGGAAUUCCUAGUGUAGCGGUGGAAUGCGUAGAUAUUAGGAGAAAUACCGGUGGCGAAGGCGACUUGCUGGACUUCAACUGACGCUGAGGAACGAAAGCGUGGGUAGCAAACAGG
This 403-nucleotide ribosomal RNA is filed under the name Fusobacteriota bacterium. Its description in RNAcentral is "Fusobacteria bacterium partial 16S ribosomal RNA". It matches the Rfam family "Bacterial small subunit ribosomal RNA", at positions 355 to 776 of the family's 1533-position model. Lineage: Bacteria; Fusobacteriati; Fusobacteriota. The record is from RNAcentral.